This 1972-nucleotide long non-coding RNA is filed under the name Homo sapiens (human). Its description in RNAcentral is "non-protein coding lnc-DKK3-10:1". Lineage: Eukaryota; Metazoa; Chordata; Mammalia; Primates; Hominidae. The record is from RNAcentral.
GCGAGAUGAAACCCCCGGUGUUGGUAAGCGGGUAUCAAGGGAGCGGCGAGGGCCUGGGCCUCACGCUUCUUGGUCUAGGCGGCUGGAAAGCAAGACACGGCAUCCCCUUUUGGACAUGGGGGAGCAGCAUGGCACUUCUAGUACCGACUGUGUACGUCCUGUGGACCUCCCUCUUUGCUCGGCUCCUUGACCACCCUGAGCUUCCGCAAACCUCCUUGCUAGCUAAUAGGAUCUUCCCCUCACCUGGCCUUGCUUGGCUAAAGCUAGUGGGAAGGGGGCGGUGGUGCAGACUACCUGUGUUACCUUGGUCAGAUCACCUAAACACCCUCUACCUUUGGCUGUCAUAUCCCUAUCUUAAUCUCUGCUCUGCCCACCUUCCCGGGUUACCCUUACCCCCCACAGCUCCAGAGAGCAACAUUCACAGACAACACAGUGUGAAUGGAGUGGGGCCUAGUGAGCAAUCAGAAGCACUCUGUAGACUAUAACUACUGUAAAACACCUUGUGUUUAAACGGCUCUUGUAGCAGUUAUCAUGAAAUGGGGAUCUCCAUGGGCAGGAACCAUGUCUGACUCACCUCUGGAACCCAGGGCCCAUCACAGGGCUUGGCCCGGUGUAAGCAUCAAUAAGUGUUCUUGGAACUGAGCUACCUAGGCAGAGGAAAACAGGCAGGCUUGAGCAGUGAGAAACAGUAUUGUGGCUCCAGGCUGCUGGAAUUUCCCCAGCACAAGACCACCUCCAGGAGACACCAUGUUCCCUUGCCAGACAAGUGCAAACAGAACAGUUUGCCUCCCCAAACCUGCAGAUUAUUAUUAUUUUUUCUCUACUCUACUUCUUGCCAUGUGAUCCUACUCUCAGCCCUUUGGUGUUUACCAGGUAUUGUCCUACCUGGCAGCUCUCUUAGCUCUCUCUUCAGAAUUCAAUCAACUUCCUGUAGAUGAACUUUCCAGCAAAAGCUGUUCCUACCCAGUUUGCAAGGCCCAGUCAGCUUGUACUCUCAGAGGGCCAGCACUCCACUCUGAUGGAAAUCUGCCUGUGAUGCCAGCCUGGGGAGUGCCCUUCACACGUGAUCUCAUCUAAGCCUGGCUUGACAGUAAGAAGAGGAGGAAGAGGAGGAAGCUUAGGAAUCCUCUCUGAAGGGGACAUGGUUCUUGGAGGCCUGAUUUGUAUUGGGGAGAAUCCUGAAACCAAUCACUGAGGGAGCACUACCCUUUAUGAUGGGGAUGGAAAAGCCACAGCAACCCUAUGGCCUCUAGUUUUGGAGAGGGACUCAGCUAAAGACCAAAGGAAGCACCAGAAAGAAGAACUGAAGAGUUUAAUUUGGUUAAACAUAAAUAAAAAUAAAAACAUCUCUAGAAUAUAGAAACUAUCUCUAGAAGUCCGGGUGUUGUGGCUCACACCUGUAAUCCCAGCAUUUUGGGAGGCUAAGGCAGGUGGAUGACCUGAGCUCAGGAAUUUGAGACCAGCCUGGGCAAUAUGGCAAAACUUCGUCUCUGCCAAAAAUACAAAAAAUUAGCCGGGUGUGGUGGUAUGCACCUGUUGUCACAGCUACUCGAGAGGCUGAAGUGGGAGAACUGCUUGAGCCUGGGAGGCAGAGGUUGUAGUGAGCCAAGAUUGCACCACUGCACUCCAACCUGGGUGAAAAAAAUAAAAGAAAAACUAUCUCUAGGGGUGGAGCUCUGGGGAAUGUUUUCUCUGUUCAAAUGUUCUACCAAGCAGAUGUAUUACAGUGGAUGUGAUUGCCUUUAAUUUGCUUGAUUUGCUGGACAUCGUUCAAAGGUCAUCCCCAGGUAUCAGUGGAUGGAUAGGAAGGAGAGUGUGUGCACUGAGGGUGUGGCUGUGGGCCCUGCAGGGGAGGCACCACAGGGAGGGGCUGGCACUCCUAUGGGCUCAGACGCUCAGGUGAGUUGCCCAUUACAUAAGGUGCAUUGCUAGGGCAUUAGCUCAGCCAGGAAGGAACCACUCUGGACUUGUG